This 228-nucleotide ribosomal RNA is filed under the name uncultured bacterium. RNAcentral describes it as "partial 16S ribosomal RNA". It matches the Rfam family "Bacterial small subunit ribosomal RNA", at positions 524 to 751 of the family's 1533-position model. The record is from RNAcentral.
UACGAAGGGGGCUAGCGUUGUUCGGAUUUACUGGGCGUAAAGCGCACGUAGGCGGAUCGUUAAGUCGGAUGUGAAAGCCCUCGGCUCAACUGAGGAAGUGCACCCGAAACUGGCGAGCUUGAGUACGAAAGAGGAUCGCGGAAUUCCCGGUGUAGAGGUGAAAUUCGUAGAUAUCGGGAGGAACACCGUGGCGAGGACGGCGGACCUGCGGGUCCGAGUACACUGACG